This 1237-nucleotide ribosomal RNA is filed under the name Actinomycetota bacterium. Its description in RNAcentral is "bacterial SSU rRNA". It matches the Rfam family "Bacterial small subunit ribosomal RNA", at positions 40 to 1294 of the family's 1533-position model. The record is from RNAcentral. Lineage: Bacteria; Bacillati; Actinomycetota.
CANCGCUGCUUACCAUGCAGUCGACGAUGAACUGGAGCUUGCUCCAGGGAUUAGUGGCGAACGGGUGAGUAACACGUGAGUAACCUGCCCUUGACUCUGGGAUAAGCGCUGGAAACGGCGUCUAAUACCGGAUACGAGCUUCAGCCGCAUGGCUAGGAGUUGGAAAGAAUUUCGGUCAAGGAUGGACUCGCGGCCUAUCAGCUAGUUGGUGAGGUAAUGGCUCACCAAGGCGACGACGGGUAGCCGGCCUGAGAGGGUGACCGGCCACACUGGGACUGAGACACGGCCCAGACUCCUACGGGAGGCAGCAGUGGGGAAUAUUGCACAAUGGGCGCAAGCCUGAUGCAGCAACGCCGCGUGAGGGAUGACGGCCUUCGGGUUGUAAACCUCUUUUAGUAGGGAAGAAGCGAAAGUGACGGUACCUGCAGAAAAAGCACCGGCUAACUACGUGCCAGCAGCCGCGGUAAUACGUAGGGUGCAAGCGUUGUCCGGAAUUAUUGGGCGUAAAGAGCUCGUAGGCGGUUUGUCGCGUCUGCUGUGAAAUCUGGGGGCUCAACCCCCAGCCUGCAGUGGGUACGGGCAGACUAGAGUGCGGUAGGGGAGAUUGGAAUUCCUGGUGUAGCGGUGGAAUGCGCAGAUAUCAGGAGGAACACCGAUGGCGAAGGCAGAUCUCUGGGCCGUAACUGACGCUGAGGAGCGAAAGCAUGGGGAGCGAACAGGAUUAGAUACCCUGGUAGUCCAUGCCGUAAACGUUGGGAACUAGAUGUGGGGGCCAUUCCACGGUCUCCGUGUCGCAGCUAACGCAUUAAGUUCCCCGCCUGGGGAGUACGGCCGCAAGGCUAAAACUCAAAGGAAUUGACGGGGGCCCGCACAAGCGGCGGAGCAUGCGGAUUAAUUCGAUGCAACGCGAAGAACCUUACCAAGGCUUGACAUAUACCGGAAACGUCCAGAGAUGGUCGCCCCGCAAAGGUCGGUAUACAGGUGGUGCAUGGGUUGUCGUCAGCUCGUGUCGUGAGAUGUUGGGUUAAGUCCCGCAACGAGCGCAACCCUCGUUCUAUGUUGCCAGCACGUAAUGGUGGGAACUCAUAGGAGACUGCCCGGGGUCAACUCGGAGGAAUGUGGGGAUGACGUCAAAUCAUCAUGCCCCUUAUGUCUUGGGCUUCACGCAUGCUACAUUGNCGNNACCAANGGNCUGCGAUACGUAAAGGUGGAGCGAAUCCCAAAAAAGGCCGGGNUC